UACGGAGGGUGCAAGCGUUAUCCGGAAUCAUUGGGUUUAAAGGGUCCGUAGGCGGGCUAAUAAGUCAGAGGUGAAAUCCCACAGCUUAACUAUGGAACUGCCUUUGAUACUGGAGACCUUGAGUACAAAUGAAGUAGGCGGAAUGAGUCAUGUAGCGGUGAAAUGCAUAGAUAUGACUCAGAACACCGAUUGCGAAGGCAGCUCACUAGGCCUGGAUUGACGCUCAGGGACGAAAGCGUGGGGAGCGAACAGG
Molecule: ribosomal RNA, 253 nt
Filed under: uncultured bacterium
Lineage: Bacteria
Description: partial 16S ribosomal RNA
Rfam family: Bacterial small subunit ribosomal RNA
Source: RNAcentral